RNAcentral lists this ribosomal RNA (1215 nucleotides) under Clostridioides difficile. Its description in RNAcentral is "bacterial SSU rRNA". The stretch from base 569 to 1215 matches the Rfam family "Bacterial small subunit ribosomal RNA", at positions 874 to 1520 of the family's 1533-position model. Lineage: Bacteria; Bacillati; Bacillota; Clostridia; Peptostreptococcales; Peptostreptococcaceae. The record is from RNAcentral.
ACUGGGGUGAAGUCGUAACAAGGUAGCCGUAUCGGAAGGUGCGGCUGGAUCACCUCCUUUCUAAGGAGAAUUGCCUACUGUUUAAUUUUGAAAGUUCUUUAUGAACUUCAUAUUUGGGGGUGUAGCUCAGUUGGGAGAGCACUUGCCUUGCAAGCAAGGGGUCAGGAGUUCGACUCUCCUCAUCUCCACCAUUUAAGAGCAUAUUACUUAAAUCUUUGAUUUAUCUAGUAGUCUCUUACAUUGCACUUUAAGCUUAUUUUUAUACAAGCUUGUGUGUUAGCACUUUAAGCAACGGAAUUUAUUCGUUGGCACCGUGCUUUAGCACUUUGAAAACUGCAUAUAUAUUUAGUGAUAUGACAUCUAAUUUGUAAUAUAUAAAGCUGAUAACUUUUUAAAAUUAUCGAAGUUGAUAGCUUCUAAUCUAUCAAACCUUUUUAACUGGUCAAGUUAUUAAGGGUGCAGGGCGGAUGCCUUGGCACUAGGAGCCGAUGAAGGACGUGAUAAGCUGCGAUAAGCUUCGGGGAGUUGCACGUAAACUUUGAUCCGAAGAUUUNUUAAGUACUCCGCCUGGGAAGUACGCUCGCAAGAGUGAAACUCAAAGGAAUUGACGGGGACCCGCACAAGUAGCGGAGCAUGUGGUUUAAUUCGAAGCAACGCGAAGAACCUUACCUAAGCUUGACAUCCCAAUGACAUCUCCUUAAUCGGAGAGUUCCCUUCGGGGACAUUGGUGACAGGUGGUGCAUGGUUGUCGUCAGCUCGUGUCGUGAGAUGUUGGGUUAAGUCCCGCAACGAGCGCAACCCUUGUCUUUAGUUGCCAUCAUUAAGUUGGGCACUCUAGAGAGACUGCCAGGGAUAACCUGGAGGAAGGUGGGGAUGACGUCAAAUCAUCAUGCCCCUUAUGCUUAGGGCUACACACGUGCUACAAUGGGUAGUACAGAGGGUUGCCAAGCCGUAAGGUGGAGCUAAUCCCUUAAAGCUACUCUCAGUUCGGAUUGUAGGCUGAAACUCGCCUACAUGAAGCUGGAGUUACUAGUAAUCGCAGAUCAGAAUGCUGCGGUGAAUGCGUUCCCGGGUCUUGUACACACCGCCCGUCACACCACGGGAGUUGGAGACGCCCGAAGCCGAUUAUCUAACCUUUUGGAAGAAGUCGUCGAAGGUGGAAUCAAUAACUGGGGUGAAGUCGUAACAAGGUAGCCGUAUCGGAAGGUGCGGCUG